This 332-nucleotide ribosomal RNA is filed under the name uncultured Chloroflexota bacterium. Its description in RNAcentral is "bacterial SSU rRNA". It matches the Rfam family "Bacterial small subunit ribosomal RNA", at positions 28 to 351 of the family's 1533-position model. Lineage: Bacteria; Bacillati; Chloroflexota. The record is from RNAcentral.
GAUGAACGCUGGCGGCGUGCUUAAUACAUGCAAGUCGAACGGAGAUCAGCAAUGGUCUCAGUGGCGAACGGGUGAGUAACGCGUUGGUAACCUGCCCCGGAGAGAGGGAUAACAGGCCGAAAGGCUUGCUAAUACCGCAUGAGCAGUAGAGGAAUAGCAUCUUUACUGUAAAGGGAUUUGUUCGCAAGAACGCAUUCGCUCUGGGAGGGGCCUGCGACCCAUCAGCUAGUUGGUAAGGUAACGGCUUACCAAGGCGAUGACGGGUAGGGGACCUGAGAGGGUGGCCCCCCACAAUGGAACUGAAACACGGUCCAUACACCUACGGGUGGCAG